Molecule: transfer RNA, 69 nt
Filed under: Dionda diaboli (Devils River minnow)
Lineage: Eukaryota; Metazoa; Chordata; Actinopteri; Cypriniformes; Leuciscidae
Description: tRNA-Arg
Rfam family: tRNA
About the family: Transfer RNA (tRNA) molecules are approximately 80 nucleotides in length. Their secondary structure includes four short double-helical elements and three loops (D, anti-codon, and T loops).
Source: RNAcentral
AGACGGCUAGUCCAAAAAAGACUUCUGAUUUCGGCUCAGAAAAUUGUGGUUUAAGUCCACGGCCCUCUU